Cucumis sativus (cucumber) is the source of this 1002-nucleotide long non-coding RNA. RefSeq lists it as uncharacterized. Lineage: Eukaryota; Viridiplantae; Streptophyta; Magnoliopsida; Cucurbitales; Cucurbitaceae. The record is from RefSeq and is a predicted model, not a curated record. The transcript has 2 exons.
UCAUUUUGAUGAGAAAUUUUAGAAUCCAUUUUAUUUUGGUAAUAGUUAGGAACUGAGCAAAUGAUGAAAAAUCUAAGAAAAUGAGCUAAGAGCUAAGCUCUUGCUGGCAAAUCUGGAUUUUUCUUUCUUCUUCUUUGUGGAAAAAAAAAAAAAAAACCUUCCCUCCCCCUCUCUCUUGAAAUUUCUUAUGCCCGAAACCUCACUCUCCCUCUCCUUCACAUCGACGUCGAUAACCCUCCUCCAACGUGGGGCGACAACCUACAUUACACACCUCGUGAACGUUGCCACUGCCCAAUUCAUCUUCAUCACUGCUCACAUCUACAAGUUCGAUUUGUUACGCCGCGUCUCCCCCAAUUCGUUAGAGUUCACCGUCGUUUGACGCACACAGUGGGUCUCACGGUGGGUCUCAACGUCAUACGAGAGGUUGUGGCUGUUUUAAAAAAAAUUGGAACCUCAACAUCAUACCUCUUUCUUGUGUUGCUCCAAAUCAUUGGUGCAACUCGAUCUUGUCGCCGGUAGUUGGAUCUUGGAGUUUUAAACCAACUUGAAAAAGGGAAGAUGUAUAAUCUAUGGGGAUCGAGUCAUUACUUGAAAUAGGGAAGAUGUAUAAUCUCAUGGGAUCGAGCCAUUGAUGAUAGUGGUCAAGGUCGAAGCUUCUACUGAGUUUUUCCUCACCAUUUGUAUAGUUUAUCAUUUUUGUAUAUGUAUAUACUUCAGUUUUUUAUUACGUUAGAAGUAGUUAGAAGUAGCAAGAUUUAUGAUAUGGACACUUGAGAGAUUUAUUAGUGGAUUGUAAUUAUUUGGUAACUAAAUAUCUAGUUUGGCUAUAAACUUUGAUUGAGACUAUCUAGAAUGGAAUAGUUUGGAUUAGUGUAGAGAGAAAAACUUGAGGUGCUGUUGAAUCUGAAGAUUAAUAUAUGUAUAAAGAAGUGAAAAUUUCUUCCGCUUUCAGGUUUGGCUAACCCAUAUUUUAGAGGAGGUGCUGUCGAAGUUUUUGUAGAA